Molecule: RNA transcript, 1148 nt
Organism: Hemicordylus capensis (graceful crag lizard)
Lineage: Eukaryota; Metazoa; Chordata; Lepidosauria; Squamata; Cordylidae
Gene: TNNT2
Gene name: troponin T2, cardiac type
Exons: 13
Source: RefSeq, a predicted model, not a curated record
CUGGUGUGCUACAGAAGAAUGUGUCGAAGAAGAACAAGGCGAACCAGCAGAGGAAGUCAAGGAAGAUGCAGAGGAAGCCAUAGCAGAAGGACAAGAAGAACAAGCUAAAGAGCCAGAAGAAGGGGAAUCAAAACCAAGACCCAAGCUCUUUAUGCCAAAUCUGGUGCCUCCAAAGAUCCCUGAUGGGGAGAGAGUAGACUUUGAUGACAUUCACCGCAAGCGAAUGGAGAAGGACCUGAAUGAGCUGCAAACCCUGAUUGAGGCCCAUUUUGAGAACAGAAAGAAGGAGGAAGAAGAGCUGAUAUUCCUCAAGGACAGAAUUGAGCAGCGGCGAGCAGAACGAGCAGAGCAACAACGGAUUCGUAGUGAGCGAGAGAAGGAACGACAAGCCCGCUUGGCUGAAGAGAGAGCCCGGAAAGAGGAAGAGGAAAAUAGGAAGAGGGCAGAAGAGGAUGCCAGGAAGAAGAAGGCAUUCUCCAACAUGCUCCAUUUUGGAGGCUACCUGCAGAAGACAGAGAAGAAAAGUGGGAAAAAACAAACAGAGCGGGAAAAGAAGAAAAAGAUCCUCAGUGAGCGUCGAAAACCUCUGAGUAUUGAUCACUUGAAUGAAGACAAAUUGAGGGAAAAGGCCAAGGAACUGUGGCAGAGCAUCCAUGACCUUGAAGCGGAGAAAUUUGACUUGCAGGAAAAGUUCAAGCGCCAGAAAUAUGAGAUUAAUGUUCUACGGAACCGCAUUAGUGACCAUCAAAAGGUGAAAGGGUGAGUAGCAUGUUGUGCCUUUUGGUGUAUGGUGGUGUGCUGUGAUGGUUUGCAGUGCAUGCAGGAAGCUCAAAGGCUGCCCGUGGAAAGCCUGUGGUUGGUGGCCGAUGGAAGUGAGGUGUGGUUUGUGCCCAGCUGUGGAGGAGGCAGAGAGUAGUAUCUGUCUGUUUCAAUCAGCCCUCGAUUCAUACCCCAGUCCAUGCAGCCCAAAGGAACGCACCCACAACUCUAGUUUAUUCAGAGCAAGCCAGCUUCCAAGGGCCUCACUCUGUAGAAUGACUGUAGUAGCACUGUCACCGCAUGGAGCAAGCCCAGUGCUGUGUGGAGAUGACUGUGUCACCAAACAUAAGGUUAUUGUGUCUGUAAAUAAAGCCAACCAUGCAACAGCA